This is a long non-coding RNA of Manduca sexta (tobacco hornworm), 2530 nucleotides long. RefSeq lists it as uncharacterized. The record is from RefSeq and is a predicted model, not a curated record. The transcript has 2 exons. NCBI's taxonomy places the organism in Eukaryota, Metazoa, Arthropoda, Insecta, Lepidoptera, Sphingidae.
GAUGCGAGCUGCUAGGGCUGUAAAAGUGUAUGACUAUAGUAAGUCAAUAGUGCGCCUUAGCCUUAGUACAUAUAUCUUAAUAUAGAAUAUUUGUAUACGUGUAGUGUAUGCAAGUGUCUGGUUUUCAAAUAGUGUCUAGAAAUUGAGGGUCUAAUUUUUUUAAAUCAUUGAGAGUAUUCGGCUCACCCUUUCAUAACAAUAGACGCGCGCUACAUACGUAAAAAUACUCGGCGCAUCGUUGGCUGUUGCAUCUUACACACCAGAACUUUUAUAAUGGACAUGUAGCUUUAAUAAAUGCUUUUAAUAUAACAUGAAUUUUUAUCAGACAUGAAUUUCGAUAAUUACACAAGUCGAUGUUGCAUUCGAUAUUUUAUCACUUUUUAAAUGUUGUGGAUUAUAAAGUUAAUUUACAAUCUUUUUGCUCUCGCGUCAUUUUAAUUCUAAAGAUGCGACAUGUUGCUACGCUUACCUAAAAAGAAUGUAAUGGGUUCCUAGCUUACUACACUGUUCACGUCAAUAAUAGUCAGUUCAAGAAGCAUAGCUUCUCUUAAGGGUUAAGUAAUCUGAAGCUGUUACACAACUGCAGGUUUUGACUAACAUUUUGGCGUCCAUGGUGUCAUGGGAAAUUAUUCCAAUGUUAGGGAGGAUUCAAAAAAUUAAAUGAAUAGGUACAAUUUAACUAUAAAUUAUUCCCUACCAACAAAAUAGCGAUAUCAUUUAAAAAAUCACGACGGCUCAAGAGAUGCCGCUUCAUCCAUUGGUUCCAGUUGCUAAGAUAGGAUAAUUUUGGUUCCAAUAGGAGACUCCGUUAGCAAGAUCGAUUAGAGGUAGUUUACACAAAGUAGAAUAAGUACUUAAGUAAAAAAAAGUACGAAAACAAAUUUUAAUUUUUAUUAGGCACCGACUCCAAAAUUGGUAACCAGUAAGAUAUACUUAGCUAAUGUUAAAUUAUUUUUUGGUUUUUAGUGGUUUUUGAAGGUGGUACUUAAGUACCUAUAAUUUUUUGUUAAAGUUUUUAUUUUUUGCUUUUGUGUGUUAGUAAAAAUCAGUAUAUACGUUAAGAACAUCAUAGUUGACAACAUCAUUUUAAAAGUUUUCUGAUCUAUCUCCGAAGUCAAGGGUCCAACGACAAUGAAACCAAUGAGCAGCGCGGGCCUCCGGCGCACCUGACGGUGGUUCGUGUUGUUUCUAUAAACACACGGGAAGCAUCAAAAUGAAAAAAGAAUAAAUAACAAAGCUUUCGAAUAAAAAAAGGAUCAUCAAAAUCGGUUUAGCUAGUCAAAAGUUCUUAGGUUAGUUAAGUAAUAUUUGUGAUGACAAUACCAAUUGUUUAGAAACUGUGCAGUUAUUUUUGGAAUCCAAUAAUACCUAAAUAUCAGUAUCUUGCUUACUAGAAAUUCGUAUGCUGCUGUAUCCGAGGAAAAGCUCACGAAGAUAUGGAGAGAUCACCGCAUAACUAAAAAUACAAAGGGUCGCUUAAUGAGAUGUUUAGUUUUUCCUAUUUUCCUGUAUGGUACUGAAGCAUGGCCGAAUCCAACACAAAUGUCGUAAAAAGUUUGACGCCCUUAAGAUGUGAUGCUGAAGGCGCUUGCUAAGAGUUAAAGGGAUUGCUGGCAUUACUAACGCUUCCAUCCUGAAAGAGCUUUGCUUUGUAAUGAAAGCUCUUUGUAACGAUUGUUGGUACUCGGAAGAGUAUAAGGUAAACGUCCUCAGGACCGAAUACCCACCAAAUGGACAGACGUCAUUAAAUUGUCUACAAAGUGUUCGCUUACUGAAUGUACACGCAGUGCCAUGAAUAGAGAGAGAUGAAGAAGUCUCACAAAAGUCGCAACCAAUUUUCCAAAUGAUCCAUAAGCACUACCACUCUGCCAGAAGUGUACGACUGAGAAGAAGAAUUUUCUUUCACCUUCUUUUGUCCGUGUAGAAGUGUAGUGUCAGAAGCGGUGGCAAAAUUUGGAUAGCCUACUGGUGGCAAAUGUGUUAAUCCGCCACUGCCUACGUUUAGUAGUAGACGGCAAUACACGGAUUGAACCAAUCAUGAAAAUGAAUGAUCUUCCUGAAAACAUAUUAUACAUUAAGUUGGGACUGAGGCUGGGCCGUACAUACCAUUAAUCGAUGGCCUAGAUGAGAGCAAAAAGAAGUACUUAAAUAUGGCCAUCAUAACAACUGCAUAUUAAUAAGAUGACACGCGUGCCGAUUCGUCCACAGUUACAUCUUUGAAAUGUUAUUUGUCUGAUACACUAAGCCGAAAAUUCAUUUUAUGUAAAUAGUGUACUCGUGCCAACAAGUAUUAAAACACAGUAAUUGCUGAAUAAAGAUGUACUCAAUAUAAGUAAAUGAUCCAUUUGCUACAUGCAACUUAUCAUCUAAAAAGGACGAUAUCCAAAUAUAGAAAAUUUACAUAAUAUAUCUUGUAGUCUAUCCAUACACAUCUCUAACCUGCCCCGCCAUACUUCGUUAGAUAAAAAAAGUCAAAUACAUAAGUUCUAUUUCUUUUUUCAUUCACAAUGUUUGCACAUACCGGUUGCUA